GAGCAAGGAUGAAUCAGUAUUUGCCUGACUGUGCAAAACAUGAAGGCUCCUACACUUGAACUGAGCUCA
Molecule: small nucleolar RNA, 69 nt
Organism: Cyanistes caeruleus (blue tit)
Lineage: Eukaryota; Metazoa; Chordata; Aves; Passeriformes; Paridae
Source: Ensembl